Molecule: small RNA, 500 nt
Filed under: Rattus norvegicus (Norway rat)
Lineage: Eukaryota; Metazoa; Chordata; Mammalia; Rodentia; Muridae
Description: uncharacterized LOC102547495
Source: RNAcentral
CCAUGGUUGAUGGUGGUCAGACCUCUACCAGGAGUACUGGGACAAGAGGCCUGGGAAGCUGAUGGACAGAAUAUUUACCACCCUGCAAGGAGAAGGCCAUCCACUACUCCACUGCUCUGGCCAGCAAGAACAUCUUGUCCUUUGUUUGCUGUGACCAACUCAACCCCCUGCUGCUGGAGCCUGGCCUGGCAUCUAUCCUAGGCAGAAGGCCAGGCUUUCCCAAAUCCAGCAAGCACAUCGUGAGCAGCCUUGGGAUUCAGAAGGCUGGAGUGGCAGACAUCUGGCCCAGCUGGGCACAGACCCCCAAGGCGUUGUUCACCAGGGCUCAGUUCCAACCAUUACUGUGAUGUCACACACCGUCAAGGUAAAACAACUCGGUGACCCCGGUAUGUUCUCACCCACUUUUCCAUGCCAGUCCUCCUCUCUCCCCAUGCCUGGUGACAACUCUUUAUUACCCUCUAUGUAUCUAUCUAUCUGUGUGUGUAUGUAUAUUUGUAUGU